Molecule: ribosomal RNA, 404 nt
Filed under: Fusobacteriota bacterium
Lineage: Bacteria; Fusobacteriati; Fusobacteriota
Description: Fusobacteria bacterium partial 16S ribosomal RNA
Rfam family: Bacterial small subunit ribosomal RNA
Source: RNAcentral
UGGGGAAUAUUGCACAAUGGAGGGAACUCUGAUGCAGCGACGCCGCGUGAGUGAUGUAGGAAUUCGUUUCGUAAAACUCUGUUCUAUGGGAAGAAAAGGACUGUACCAUAGGAGAAAGCUCCGGCUAAAUACGUGCCAGCAGCCGCGGUAAUACGUAUGGAGCGAGCGUUGUCCGGAAUUAUUGGGCGUAAAGGGUGCGCAGGCGGCUUUACAAGUUGGAUGUGAAAUAUUGUGGCUCAACCACAAACGUGCAUCCAAAACUGCAAAGCUUGAGUUAAGGAGAGGUAAGUGGAAUUCCUGGUGUAGCGGUGGAAUGCGUAGAUAUCAGGAGGAAUACCGGUGGCGAAGGCGACUUACUGGACUUAAACUGACGCUCAGGCACGAAAGCGUGGGGAGCAAACAGG